Molecule: ribosomal RNA, 491 nt
Filed under: uncultured bacterium
Lineage: Bacteria
Description: partial 16S ribosomal RNA
Rfam family: Bacterial small subunit ribosomal RNA
Source: RNAcentral
AGUGAACGCUGGCGGUAAGCCUAACACAUGCAAGUCGAACGGCAGCACAGUAAGAGCUUGCUCUUACGGGUGGCGAGUGGCGGACGGGUGAGGAAUACAUCGGAAUCUACUUUUUCGUGGGGAUAACGUAGGGAAACUUACGCUAAUACCGCAUACGACCUACGGGUGAAAGCAGGGGGUCUUCGGACCUUGCGCGAUUGAAUGAGCCGAUGUCGGAUUAGCUAGUUGGCGGGGUAAAGGCCCACCAAGGCGACGAUCCGUAGCUGGUCUGAGAGGAUGAUCAGCCACACUGGAACUGAGACACGGUCCAGACUCCUACGGGAGGCAGCAGUGGGGAAUAUUGGACAAUGGGCGCAAGCCUGAUCCAGCCAUACCGCGUGGGUGAAGAAGGCCUUCGGGUUGUAAAGCCCUUUUGUUGGGAAAGAAAAGCAGCAGGUUAAUACCCCGCUGUUCUGACGGUACCCAAAGAAUAAGCACCGGCUAACUUCGUG